RNAcentral lists this ribosomal RNA (305 nucleotides) under uncultured bacterium. Its description in RNAcentral is "bacterial SSU rRNA". It matches the Rfam family "Bacterial small subunit ribosomal RNA", at positions 335 to 657 of the family's 1533-position model. The record is from RNAcentral.
GUACCUACGGGAGGCAGCAGUGGGGAAUAUUGCACAAUGGGGGAAACCCUGAUGCAGCGACGCCGCGUGAGCGAUGAAGUAUUUCGGUAUGUAAAGCUCUAUCAGCAGGGAAGAAGAUGACGGUACCUGACUAAGAAGCCCCGGCUAACUACGUGCCAGCAGCCGCGGUAAUACGUAGGGGGCAAGCGUUAUCCGGAUUUACUGGGUGUAAAGGGAGCGUAGACGGCCAUGCAAGCCAGGGGUGAAAGCCCGGGGCCCAACCCCGGGACUGCCCUUGGAACUGCAUGGCUGGAGUGCGGGAGGGG